GUGUGUCCCCGGGAUUCAGGGGUUCCUAAUUUGGCUCCGUAUUAGAGUCCCGCGAGAGGAAGGAAUCCGAAUCCAGAUCCGAUUCUUCACACUUCCUUUAUACAAGUUAGCCCACCGAAGCCUGGGUGGGGCAAAAGGUUUCCUUUGCUUUACAGACCCACAACGGUUGUAAAUGCAAGGACUGGUUGCAAACAUACUAUCAUAACUGCAGUUGCUAAAUGAGGACUAUGUUACUAUCUGUCUACAUAGUGUAGGAGCUCCAGUUACAACAUCCAUGACAGAUGCCUUGUUGUCUGUAUCUGAAGGUAUCCAGUGAAUGGAAACUUAUCAACUUGCUAAUAAACAGUUCCAUUGCUGAACUAUUUCAGCAAUA
Long non-coding RNA from Pantherophis guttatus, 373 nucleotides. RefSeq lists it as uncharacterized. NCBI's taxonomy places the organism in Eukaryota, Metazoa, Chordata, Lepidosauria, Squamata, Colubridae. The record is from RefSeq and is a predicted model, not a curated record.